This is a transfer RNA of Glarea lozoyensis ATCC 20868, 101 nucleotides long. It matches the Rfam family "tRNA". Rfam says of the family: Transfer RNA (tRNA) molecules are approximately 80 nucleotides in length. Their secondary structure includes four short double-helical elements and three loops (D, anti-codon, and T loops). Further hydrogen bonds mediate the characteristic L-shaped molecular structure. tRNAs have two regions of fundamental functional importance: the anti-codon, which is responsible for specific mRNA codon recognition, and the 3' end, to which the tRNAs corresponding amino acid is attached (by aminoacyl-tRNA synthetases). tRNAs cope with the degeneracy of the genetic code in two manners: having more than one tRNA (with a specific anti-codon) for a particular amino acid; and 'wobble' base-pairing, i.e. permitting non-standard base-pairing at the 3rd anti-codon position. The record is from Rfam. Lineage: Eukaryota; Fungi; Ascomycota; Leotiomycetes; Helotiales; Helotiaceae.
GCCCGGCUAGCUCAAUCGGUAGAGCGUGAGACUCUUAGAAACUGCCUCAAAAGCAGAAUCAUGUGAUCUCAAGGUUGCGGGUUCGACCCCCGCGUUGGGCU